AUUGAACGCUGGCGGCAUGCCUUACACAUGCAAGUCGAACGGUAACGGGCCUUCGGGUGCCGACGAGUGGCGAACGGGUGAGUAAUGCAUCGGAACGUACCUUUCAGUGGGGGAUAACGUAGCGAAAGUUACGCUAAUACCGCAUAUUCUGUGAGCAGGAAAGCAGGGGAUCGCAAGACCUUGCGCUGAUUGAGCGGCCGAUGUCAGAUUAGCUAGUUGGUGAGGUAAAGGCUCACCAAGGCGACGAUCUGUAGCGGGUCUGAGAGGAUGAUCCGCCACACUGGAACUGAGACACGGUCCAGACUCCUACGGGAGGCAGCAGUGGGGAAUUUUGGACAAUGGGGGCAACCCUGAUCCAGCCAUGCCGCGUGAGUGAAGAAGGCCUUCGGUUGUAAAGCUCUUUCGGUCCGGGAAGAAAUACGCAUGGGUUAAGUACCCUGUGCGGAUGACGGUACCGGCAUAAGAAGCACCGGCUAACUACGUGCCAGCAGCCGAC
Molecule: ribosomal RNA, 496 nt
Filed under: uncultured bacterium
Lineage: Bacteria
Description: bacterial SSU rRNA
Rfam family: Bacterial small subunit ribosomal RNA
Source: RNAcentral